UGGGCUCGAAAUGCAGGAGACCGGGGUAGAAAUAUCCCUUCCUCGCAAGAGGCUGCUGUAUAGGUGCUGCAUGGCUGUCGUCAGCUCGUGUCGUGAGAUGUUGGGUUAAGUCCCGCAACGAGCGCAACCCUCAUCCCUAGUUGCCAUCGGGUCAAGCCGGGCACUCUAGUGAAACCGCCCCGGAUAACGGGGAGGAAGGUGGGGAUGACGUCAAGUCCUCAUGGCCUUUAUGUCCAGGGCUACACACGUGCUACAAUGGUCGGUACAAACCGUCGCGAAACUGCAAAGUAGAGCUAAUCGGAAAAAGCCGGCCUCAGUUCGGAUUGGAGUCUGCAACUCGACUCCAUGAAGCUGGAAUCGCUAGUAAUCGCAGAUCAGAACGCUGCGGUGAAUACGUUCCCGGGCC
Molecule: ribosomal RNA, 406 nt
Filed under: uncultured bacterium
Lineage: Bacteria
Description: bacterial SSU rRNA
Rfam family: Bacterial small subunit ribosomal RNA
Source: RNAcentral